This 65-nucleotide transfer RNA is filed under the name Lycodon rufozonatus (red-banded snake). RNAcentral's name for it is "tRNA-Trp". Lineage: Eukaryota; Metazoa; Chordata; Lepidosauria; Squamata; Colubridae. The record is from RNAcentral.
AGAAGCUUAAGUUAUAUUAAACUAGGAACCUUCAAAGUCCCAAAAAAAGACCUCUUUAGUUUCUG